Molecule: transfer RNA, 88 nt
Filed under: Bacillota bacterium
Lineage: Bacteria; Bacillati; Bacillota
Description: tRNA-Leu
Rfam family: tRNA
About the family: Transfer RNA (tRNA) molecules are approximately 80 nucleotides in length. Their secondary structure includes four short double-helical elements and three loops (D, anti-codon, and T loops). Further hydrogen bonds mediate the characteristic L-shaped molecular structure. tRNAs have two regions of fundamental functional importance: the anti-codon, which is responsible for specific mRNA codon recognition, and the 3' end, to which the tRNAs corresponding amino acid is attached (by aminoacyl-tRNA synthetases). tRNAs cope with the degeneracy of the genetic code in two manners: having more than one tRNA (with a specific anti-codon) for a particular amino acid; and 'wobble' base-pairing, i.e. permitting non-standard base-pairing at the 3rd anti-codon position.
Source: RNAcentral
GCCGGAGUGGCGGAAUGGCAGACGCACGCGACUCAAAAUCGCGCGGAGUUAACUCUCCUUGGGGGUUCAAGUCCCCCCUCCGGCACCA